UAAUAAUUCGCGUAAAUAUUUUUAAUCCGGCACUUUAUUUGGGUCCUUACGGUUUAUAGCGUCCUCACAUCCGGUAUGUAAAGCGCGCCCACGUGGUGGGGGAGCAGCGUGUGAUCUCAUGGACUGGAGCUUCAUUCCAAAGAUGGCGGUUGGAGACCAGAUCAUCUGUGAUGGCGGUUGGAGACCAGAUCAUCUGUGAUGGCGGUUGGAGACCAGAUCAUCUGUGAUGGCGGUUGGAGACCAGAUCAUUCACACCACACCAUGACAAAGGUGGAGGAGUCUGAACAUGUUCCACACACAGGUGGAUGAUGCUUGAACUCGACCGGUGCAUUUUAACAGCAUUUCCUUUCAUGUAGCUGCCGUCUGUGCUGUUUAGAGGAUCGUCACAUCAUAAAGUCUGUUCCAGAUGAUUUUUUUUUUUGGCAUCACUGCUGCUUCUUUCACUUAGUCAGUCAGUCAGUCAGGUUUGUUUUAGACAAUCAGGUAGUAAUUACUACACAGGUGAGUUUGGUCUCUCUGUUAUGUAUAAACUUUUUUUUUUAAUCCUCUGAUUUCAAAUAAAGAUUUAUCCCA
Molecule: long non-coding RNA, 573 nt
Organism: Tachysurus fulvidraco (yellow catfish)
Lineage: Eukaryota; Metazoa; Chordata; Actinopteri; Siluriformes; Bagridae
Exons: 4
Source: RefSeq, a predicted model, not a curated record